Molecule: ribosomal RNA, 372 nt
Filed under: uncultured organism
Description: bacterial SSU rRNA
Rfam family: Bacterial small subunit ribosomal RNA
Source: RNAcentral
CGUAGGGUGCGAGCGUUAAUCGGAAUUACUGGGCGUAAAGGGUUCGUAGGUGGUUUAUUAAGUUAUUUGUAAAAUCCCUGGGCUUAACCUGGGCAGGUCAGAUAAUACUGGUAGACUCGAGUAUGGGAGAGGGUAGUGGAAUUUCCGGUGUAGCGGUGAAAUGCGUAGAGAUCGGAAGGAACACCAGUGGCGAAGGCGGCUACCUGGCCUAAUACUGACACUGAGGAACGAAAGCGUGGGGAGCAAACAGGAUUAGAUACCCUGGUAGUCCACGCCGUAAACGAUGUCAACUAGCUGUUGGUCAUAUUGAUAUGAUUAGUGGCGCAGCAAACGCGAUAAGUUGACCGCCUGGGGAGUACGGUCGCAAGAUUA